RNAcentral lists this signal recognition particle RNA (316 nucleotides) under Methanosarcinales archaeon. RNAcentral describes it as "signal recognition particle sRNA". It matches the Rfam family "Archaeal signal recognition particle RNA". The record is from RNAcentral. Lineage: Archaea; Methanobacteriati; Methanobacteriota; Methanomicrobia; Methanosarcinales.
GGGUGGGCUAGUCCGGGCAGCUCGGCGUUGCCUGUAACCCGAAAUCGUCGAUAUGCGGGGGACGAAAGCCUGUGGGAGGCACAGGCUCUUUUCGCAACAGCCCAUGCAUCUGACUGAGAAGUCCCGUCCCAUGGGGGUGGUGCUGUCAUAGGGGCUUGCCGGAGGGCAUGUCCCUAUGGCUUAACCAUGGGAAACGGCUCAGGCCCGGAAGGGAGCAGGCUUACCAUGGGCAACCAUCGCUCAUGGGGUUGCGGGAUGGAGGAAGAUGCAUGGUGUCUGGGCGAAGAGAGUUGUGUCGACUGCAGGAUGCCCACCC